RNAcentral lists this ribosomal RNA (468 nucleotides) under uncultured bacterium. RNAcentral's name for it is "partial 16S ribosomal RNA". It matches the Rfam family "Bacterial small subunit ribosomal RNA", at positions 28 to 507 of the family's 1533-position model. The record is from RNAcentral.
GACGAACGCUGGCGGCGUGCUUAACACAUGCAAGUCGAACGGAAAGGCCCUGCUUUUGUGGGGUGCUCGAGUGGCGAACUGGUGAGUAACACGUGAGUAACCUGCCCUUGACUGUGGGAUAACUUCAGGAAACUGGGGCUAAUACCGGAUAGGAGCUCCUGCUGCAUGGUGGGGGUUGGAAAGUUUCGGCGGUUGGGGAUGGACUCGCGGCUUAUCAGCUUGUUGGGGGGGUAGUGGCUUACCAAGGCUUUGACGGGUAGCCGGCCUGAGAGGGUGAACGGCCACAUUGGGACUGAGAUACGGCCCAGACUCCUACGGGAGGCAGCAGUGGGGAAUAUUGCACAAUGGGCGGAAGCCUGAUGCAGCAACGCCGCGGGCGGGAUGACGGCCUUCGGGUUGUAAACCGCUUUCGCCUGUGACGAAGCGUGAGUGACGGUAAUGGGUAAAGAAGCACCGGCUAACUACGUG